AGGCUUAACACAUGCAAGUCGAGGGGCAGCAUGAACAUAGCUUGCUAUGUUGAUGGGCGACCGGCGCACGGGUGCGUAACACGUAUCCUAAUCUGCCCGUUACUCGGGGGAUAGCCUUCUGAAAGGAAGAUUAAUACCCGAUGGCAUGUAUUUCCGGCAUCGGAGAUACAUUAAAGAUUUAUCGGUAACGGAUGAGGAUGCGUACGAUUAGCUGGUUGGCGGGUAACGGCCACCAAGGCGACGAUCGUUAGGGGUUCUGAGAGGGUGAUCGGCCACAUUGGGACUGAGACACGGCCCAAACUCCUACGGGAGGCAGCAGUGAGGAAUAUUGGUCAAUGGUCGAGAGACUGAACCAGCCAAGUAGCGUGAAGGAUGACUGCCCUACGGGUUGUAAACUUCUUUUGUUUGGGAAUAAAUGAUACUACGUGUAGUAUUUUGCAUGUACCUUACGAAUAAGCAUCGGCUAAUUCCGUG
RNAcentral lists this ribosomal RNA (474 nucleotides) under uncultured bacterium. RNAcentral describes it as "bacterial SSU rRNA". It matches the Rfam family "Bacterial small subunit ribosomal RNA", at positions 44 to 507 of the family's 1533-position model. The record is from RNAcentral.